GUAAGUAUAGUUUAACUAGAAUAUUAGAUUGUGGUUCUAAAGAUGGGGGUUAAAAUCCCUUUACUCACC
RNAcentral lists this transfer RNA (69 nucleotides) under Sundadanio axelrodi 'red'. Its description in RNAcentral is "tRNA-His". It matches the Rfam family "tRNA". From Rfam's summary of the family: Transfer RNA (tRNA) molecules are approximately 80 nucleotides in length. Their secondary structure includes four short double-helical elements and three loops (D, anti-codon, and T loops). Lineage: Eukaryota; Metazoa; Chordata; Actinopteri; Cypriniformes; Sundadanionidae. The record is from RNAcentral.